Molecule: transfer RNA, 74 nt
Filed under: Prionitis livida
Lineage: Eukaryota; Rhodophyta; Florideophyceae; Halymeniales; Halymeniaceae
Also listed under: 2 other names
Description: Grateloupia livida tRNA-Pro
Rfam family: tRNA
About the family: Transfer RNA (tRNA) molecules are approximately 80 nucleotides in length. Their secondary structure includes four short double-helical elements and three loops (D, anti-codon, and T loops). Further hydrogen bonds mediate the characteristic L-shaped molecular structure. tRNAs have two regions of fundamental functional importance: the anti-codon, which is responsible for specific mRNA codon recognition, and the 3' end, to which the tRNAs corresponding amino acid is attached (by aminoacyl-tRNA synthetases). tRNAs cope with the degeneracy of the genetic code in two manners: having more than one tRNA (with a specific anti-codon) for a particular amino acid; and 'wobble' base-pairing, i.e. permitting non-standard base-pairing at the 3rd anti-codon position.
Source: RNAcentral
CGGGACGUAGCGCAGCUUGGUAGCGCAUCUGCUUUGGGAGCAGGGUGUCGCAGGUUCAAAUCCUGCCGUCCCGA